CAAUAGCGUAUAUUAAAGUUGUUGCAGUUAAAAAGCUCGUAGUUGGAUUUCUGGGAGGGUGCCGCCGUCCGGCGUGUCCGUGUGCAGUGGCGCCCUUCCAUCCUUCUGUUAGCGUCUCUUGGCAUUCAUUUGCUGGUGGCGGGCUCAGAUAUUUUACCUUGAGAAAAUUAGAGUGUUUCAGGCAGGCUAGGCCGGAAUACAUUAGCAUGGAAUAAUGGAAUAGGACUACGGUCUCUUUGUUGGUUUGAGGGACUGCAGUAAUGAUUAAUAGGGAUAGUUGGGGGCAUUAGUAUUUAAUUGUCAGAGGUGGAAUUCUCAGAUUUGUUAAAGACUAACUUAUGCGAAAGCAUUUGCCAAGGAUGUUUUCAUUA
RNAcentral lists this ribosomal RNA (371 nucleotides) under uncultured eukaryote. RNAcentral describes it as "partial 18S ribosomal RNA". It matches the Rfam family "Eukaryotic small subunit ribosomal RNA", at positions 592 to 975 of the family's 1831-position model. The record is from RNAcentral.